RNAcentral lists this ribosomal RNA (295 nucleotides) under uncultured bacterium. RNAcentral describes it as "partial 16S ribosomal RNA". It matches the Rfam family "Bacterial small subunit ribosomal RNA", at positions 29 to 334 of the family's 1533-position model. The record is from RNAcentral.
AACGAACGCUGGCGGCAGGUCUUAGGCAUGCAAGUCGAACGGGUGAAACAGGUGCUUGCACUUGUGGAUCUAGUGGCGCACGAGUGAGUAACGCGUGGGAAACUGCCCACUACUGGGGAAUAACGUUUGGAAACGAACGCUAAUACCGCAUACGCCGGAAACGGGAAAGAUUUAUCGGUGGUGGAUGUGCCCGCGUUGGAUUAGCUUGUUGGUGGGGUAACGGCCUACCAAGGCGAUGAUCCAUAGCUAGUCUGAGAGGACGAUCAGCCACGCUGGAACUGAGACACGGGUCCAG